GAGACUGUAUGAUUUCCUCACUCUUA
Molecule: non-coding RNA, 26 nt
Filed under: Rattus norvegicus (Norway rat)
Lineage: Eukaryota; Metazoa; Chordata; Mammalia; Rodentia; Muridae
Source: RNAcentral